AAGACACUAGUUAAAUUUGUUAUAACAUUGCUUUGUCAAGGCAAAACUGUGGGUUAGAAUCCCGCGUGUCUUG
This 73-nucleotide transfer RNA is filed under the name Protosalanx chinensis. RNAcentral describes it as "tRNA-Asp". It matches the Rfam family "tRNA". Rfam says of the family: Transfer RNA (tRNA) molecules are approximately 80 nucleotides in length. Their secondary structure includes four short double-helical elements and three loops (D, anti-codon, and T loops). Lineage: Eukaryota; Metazoa; Chordata; Actinopteri; Osmeriformes; Salangidae. The record is from RNAcentral. RNAcentral also lists the same sequence under 1 other name.